GGAAAGUUAUGUGAAUACAAUGAUUUAUUUUAAGUAAAGGGUAGUUUUAUAAAAUAAAGUGCCAAACAUCAUAUAAAUAAAUAUUUACAGGCUCAGUAUCAAUCAAAUCAGUGGUAAGAGUGAAUUUUUUCAAUGUAUGACUUUCAUAUCAAAUUUUUUUUUGGUGAUUCAGCUUAAUAGGAGUUUAUGGUAUGGGCCCAUUCACGUUAUAUCCAAAUAAACAAAAAUUAUCUAGAGUUGUUCAUGCCAUCAUUUCCUUCAGCACAGUCUUCAAAGUAGUUUUCUCAUUACCCACUUUGAAAGAUAUUUCCAAGGAGAGGAUAAUGCAACCCAUUCUAUAUGUGAAUAAUGGGUGGGACACAGGCCAAUAAUCAUGAUCCAAAUUAGUCUGAAAAUCAAAGGAGUAAGGGGAGAAAAAAAGAAUGAAGGAUUAAUUGAUUUGCUGAGAGCAUGUCACAUGCUAAUUGUUGUUUUACAUUUUUCAUCUAUGUCUCUCAUGUGAUUCAGACCACAAAUCUGUGUGAUAAGUAUUGUUAUCCUUAUUCUACCAAUGACGACACAGUAGUGAAGUCAUAAUUCAGACUUGAAAUUCUGUCUUCUCUCAAUUUUCAUCCCAAAAUUAGAUAUCCUCGAUGCCAGUUCGGAUUCUCUUAUUCAAUGAGAAAAUCACUUCCUUUUCGGCCCUUGUCAUCUUUGUCUGUAUAACAAGGGGAUAAGACAAAGACGUUUGAUGAAAAUUUCUUCAAGUUGUAUCAUGUUUUUAUUCUUAGUGGGUAGUCCUUUGUAAGUCUGCAUACGGCUGGCUGGUGACACAAUGUGGGCACCAUAGACCGAAAAAUAAAAUUACUGAAAAGGCGAAGUAUACUUUCCAAAAAUUAGACUCUAAUCAAUGUAGUCCGUGCAACAAUUUUCUUUAAUACCGAAUUGCAUUUUAUAUAGCUAUUUGCACAGAUCUUCACAAUAAAACCAUAAGAAAAGGAGAAUAGGAUAUUAUCUUCACAGUUCUACAGAGGAGUAAAAAAACUGACCUUGAUCUAAAUAAGUUUAGAGGUGGAUUUUAAUCCUUUAAUAAGCAAAAGACAUAUAAUAAAAUUGAUAAAUGACAAUAUCAAUACUUUAUCUAAAAGUAAUUUCAUAAAGAAACAAAGCCAAAAUUGAUUCAGUUAACAUAAAAAAGAGUUAACCCAGAAGAAAACAAUGAAUAUUGAUCUCGAUUUCAGCAAGCAGAAAAUAAAAAAAAAAAAAAAGCAGAAAAAAGUGAGAAAUUGUUAAGGUGAGUGAAAGAUGAGCGGCGGUUGCUCUGAGAAACUACAACACAACUUAUUUAUUCAAGUGGCUGGGUCAGAUUUAAAGAUGUGAUUUCAAUAACUUUUUUGAAUAGAGUGUUGUACCUUUGUCUAAAGUAGUAAAAUUCAUUUGAAUUAAAGCUGAAUAUGGGUUUUCCUCCUCAAAUCCAAUUCAAUUCCAAGGUUUGAAAUUGCAGGGGCUCCUGAGAAGAAAUGGCAAAAAUAAAAAAGAGAAAGAGAGAGAAAGGGGAAGAGAAAAGGAAAAAAGAAAAAUCUAUAACUUGAAGCCCUGUAAAGCAAAGAUUUACCAAACUUUAGAUUUUAUACCCCCUCUUUUUUCAGCAUAUCCAAAUAAAUUUACAUGAUCUUAUGAGUGUAAAUCUUCUAGUCUUCAUGAGAUUUUUCCAGCUUUUCUGCCUUUUAGAUUGACAUUUCUAGUUGCUUAAGGUUUCUUCUUCAAAGCAAUGGGUAUAAAACAUGUGAUUAUUAUUAAACAGUUAUGGAAAAUACCAUCUUUAUUCCACCACUUUAUCAGGUAGAACUUGAAGGUAAAAUAAAGUUUGGAUGCUGAGUCUACAUGUAUUGUAUUGUAUUGUAUUGUAUUGUAUUGUAUUGUAUUGUAUUGUAUUGUAUUGUAUUGUAUAGUGGUUACCAGAGAUUUAAUAACAUAGCAGAAGUAACUGAAUCGCCUCCUCUGCCCUAUGCACUUGUAUUUUUUUUAUUUCAAAAAUGCCAGGAAGAUAAGUGUAUGCAAAAAUAUAAAGUUUGUAAAAUUUUAUACAACUUAAUCUAUUUGAUCAUUAGUUAAGUAAGCUUAACUAAAUUAAAAAUGUAUUUUAUUGCUACUUUUUUUAACUCUCUAAAGAAUACAUUUAUGUUUUUGAAGGA
This 2174-nucleotide long non-coding RNA is filed under the name Homo sapiens (human). Its description in RNAcentral is "long non-coding RNA NONHSAT232279". The record is from RNAcentral. Lineage: Eukaryota; Metazoa; Chordata; Mammalia; Primates; Hominidae.